GUGGCAAGAAGCGAACAGUUGACACCAAACCGGGACGGGGCAAGCGUUGCAAUAAAAGUGAGAAAACGAAAAGUGUAUACAGGCAAAACAGAAAAGAAAUAUCGCCGUAAUCAAGCAAAUUAAAAUGUAAAUGAAGAGCCGGGCGGUACAAGUUUUACGCAACUGUUGGCCACUCGUCGUUGGGUGCGGAACGCGCGACGGUCGCAGAUCCUCCAAUCGCGCAUCCAUUUGGCUAAUUAAAAAGAGAAAAAGGAAGCAUCAACCCACCACCGCCCCUUCCGUGCAAAAAAACCCCUUUAGGUGCAGCUUCGGUGCAGUACAGCAGAGUUCAAGAGGUGUUGCAUUGGGGAGUAAGCGAACCUUCGCAGUGAUUCAAAGGGGGCGGAUGUCCCUUGGCGGAUUCAAGGAAGCGUAUACGUUUGCUCUACCUUAUCUGAACUCUUUUCUUUAGCUGAAGGUACUGGCCUGUGCUAUUGGGACCAGGUAUCAAGUCAUCCAAAUCUCCUUCCGAACCUAAUACACCCUGUCAAAAUUUGAUGCAACUCCUUGGAGAACGUUCAGUAGGAAUAUGAUUUUUUUGUUGAAACUGCGGAGAACUAAAACUGCUGCUUAUGAUGAGAUUGCAAGAGCUUUACGAAGAAUUUUCUGAUGUACUGGUACAAUAGAUAAGACAUUGGGGGACAUUGCUCCUUAAACUAAUGUGCUGCUAUCUUUGCUAACUAGAAGGAAUCUAUAAACAUUGUAAUUAGCAGCGAAGGCGUCUCGGGAUUAUAGACGAUCCUAUACAAAGAAGCAGUUAUUGGGAUGGUGCGCCUUGGUUUCUUACGUUUGUUAUAGCAGUUCUUCCACUCAUCGUACCCUUUACUAUUCCAAUGUUAACUUCCAUCGACAUCUU
Molecule: long non-coding RNA, 895 nt
Organism: Anopheles merus
Lineage: Eukaryota; Metazoa; Arthropoda; Insecta; Diptera; Culicidae
Exons: 3
Source: RefSeq, a predicted model, not a curated record